Non-coding RNA from Musca domestica (house fly), 82 nucleotides. The record is from Rfam. Lineage: Eukaryota; Metazoa; Arthropoda; Insecta; Diptera; Muscidae.
GCUGCGGUGUCCGAGUGGUUAAGGAGAUGGACUUGAAAUCCAUUGGGUUCUACCCGCACAGGUUCGAAUCCUGUCCGCAGCG